UAAAAAAUUUUGGCGGUAUUUUAAGCUUAUUAGAGGAAUUUGCUCUGUGAUGGACACAACGCCUUAAUCUUACUUAAUUUAGUAAUUAAAAUCAGUUUGUAUACCACUAUAUUAAUUAUAUUGAAUAGUUAUAUUUAAAAUUUUUUUAAAAAAAUAUAUUAAGUCAAGGUGCAUCUAAUAAUUAUGAAUGAAGUGAAUUACAUUAAUUUUAAUGUAAUUUUUUACAUGAAAAAAUUAAUUAGGAUUUAAUAGUAAAAUACUAAUAUUAUGAGUAUUUGAAUCAAGCUCUAAAAUAUGCACAUAUCGCCCGUCGCUCUCAGAAGUGAGAUAAGUCGUAACAAAGUAAAAAUACUGGAAAGUGUUUUU
RNAcentral lists this ribosomal RNA (366 nucleotides) under Ixodes scapularis (black-legged tick). Its description in RNAcentral is "partial 12S ribosomal RNA". Lineage: Eukaryota; Metazoa; Arthropoda; Arachnida; Ixodida; Ixodidae. The record is from RNAcentral.